UACGUAGGGUGCGAGCGUUGUCCGGAAUUAUUGGGCGUAAAGAGCUCGUAGGCGGUUUGUUGCGUCGACUGUGAAAACCUGGGGCUUAACUCUGGGCUUGCAGUCGAUACGGGCAGACUUGAGUCCGGUAGGGGAGUGUGGAAUUCCCGGUGUAGCGGUGAAAUGCGCAGAUAUCGGGAGGAACACCAGUGGCGAAGGCGGCACUCUGGGCCGGAACUGACGCUGAGGAGCGAAAGCGUGGGGAGCGAACAGG
RNAcentral lists this ribosomal RNA (253 nucleotides) under uncultured bacterium. Its description in RNAcentral is "partial 16S ribosomal RNA". It matches the Rfam family "Bacterial small subunit ribosomal RNA", at positions 524 to 776 of the family's 1533-position model. The record is from RNAcentral.